Impatiens glandulifera is the source of this 95-nucleotide small nucleolar RNA. The record is from RefSeq and is a predicted model, not a curated record. Lineage: Eukaryota; Viridiplantae; Streptophyta; Magnoliopsida; Ericales; Balsaminaceae.
AGUAAGGCUAUGAUGUUUAUAACUACCUAUUUUAUGAUUAUAUGGAAAUAUCCUUUGUGAUUAUAAUAUACCAAUGGAUCCUUCUGAGCCUUUUU